Molecule: long non-coding RNA, 1196 nt
Filed under: Ananas comosus (pineapple)
Lineage: Eukaryota; Viridiplantae; Streptophyta; Magnoliopsida; Poales; Bromeliaceae
Description: long non-coding RNA (ACOM_LNC025714)
Source: RNAcentral
UUGGUAUUUCAUUCAUCAAUAAAGGGUAUUUGUAUUGACGAAUUUAUAGAUCCAAUCAUAGCUCAAGUGCGGUGUUGUUUGCAUUUUUUCGAAGUGUGAUUAUUUUUUGUCGUUUGUUUUGAGAUAAUUCGUAGGGUUUGAAAGUUAAAUUCAAUUACUUCUUCUGCUUGUUUUGGUAUAACUUGAUGCUGUUAAAAUUAGUUUUUUAAGUUAUAUUAUUUGUUUCGAUAUAAAUAAGUGAAUUUCAUUACCUUCUAAAUAUAGUGGUGAACUUUUUCCGAUAAAAUCCAACAUAUUAAAAAAAUAAAUCCCUCAUUAGUGUUUCGAAAUAAUCUUAAUCCAUUGUAAAAAAAAAAGUAACUCUAAGUCAUUCUAAAAAAAGCAGAGUUUAAAUUUUAAUAUUUAAUAAAUUUUUUUAAAGAAGUUGAGUAUGAUGGGACUUGAGUUGGAUACACUAGAGAGAGAGUCUAAGUAACUUCUUCCCUAAAUGAAAUAAACGAAGCGAGUAGCAUGCUACCUAUCUCUCAAAAAAAAAAAAAUUUCUUCCCUUUAUGGAUUAAUUUAUGUUUUAAUAUUUAAUAACGUUUUUAGAGAAAGUUGAGUAUAGUGGAGCUUGAGUUUGAUACACUAGAGGGACAGGUUUAGAAAUUAGGGAGAGUCCAAACCUUAGUUAGUUAAUUCGCGAAUUAUUCGCGAAUUAUUCGCGAAUUUUUGAAAAAAUGAAUUAAUCGGCUGUAUACGUAUUUGUUUCAAAAAUUCGGGAAAAAACGUAUUUUUUUGGGUAAAAAAACGUAUUCGUGAAUAAUUCGCGCGCCGAAUAAUUCGCCAAAAAGACGCCGCGUCGCAGCUCGCGAGCGCGAGCGAUCGCGCGCUGAUCGCGAGCCGCGAGGCCCUAUAUUGUCCUUUUGUGGAUAUUAUCCAGUUUUUAAUAAUUAGAUGAAAAAUUAAAUAAAAAAUUAUAUGGCUGGAUUGAUAGUGGCCCGCCCUCUAGGGUUUAGUGGGUAGAUGGUAAAAUAGUAUGAUCAAAAGGAUGGGAUUGAUGAAGGGGUAGAUCUAAUAGUGAAAAAUUAGAUAGCACUAAGUGUUUUAUACUAUUAAUAGUAUCCUAGACGGACUCGUACUAUAUUACAAAUAUAAUUAAGAACAUACAAAUUGUACCCGCCGUAAAGUAUGGAUAUAAGUAUUGGAAGUGAAAA